RNAcentral lists this ribosomal RNA (497 nucleotides) under uncultured bacterium. Its description in RNAcentral is "partial 16S ribosomal RNA". It matches the Rfam family "Bacterial small subunit ribosomal RNA", at positions 28 to 507 of the family's 1533-position model. The record is from RNAcentral.
GAUGAACGCUGGCGGCGUGCCUAAUACAUGCAAGUCGAGCGAACGGACGAGAAGCUUGCUUCUCUGAUGUUAGCGGCGGACGGGUAAGUAACACGUGGAUAACCUACCUAUAAGACUGGGAUAACUUCGGGAAACCGGAGCUAAUACCGGAUAAUAUUUUGAACCGCAUGGUUCAAAAGUGAAAGGCGGUCUUGCUGUCACUUAUAGAUGGAUCCGCGCUGCAUUAGCUAGUUGGUAAGGUAACGGCUUACCAAGGCAACGAUGCAUAGCCGACCUGAGAGGGUGAUCGGCCACACUGGAACUGAGACACGGUCCAGACUCCUACGGGAGGCAGCAGUGGGGAAUCUUCCGCAAUGGGCGAAAGCCUGACGGAGCAACGCCGCGUGAGUGAUGAAGGUCUUCGGAUCGUAAAACUCUGUUAUUAGGGAAGAACAUAUGUGUAAGUAACUGUGCACAUCUUGACGGUACCUAAUCAGAAAGCCACGGCUAACUACGUG